This 207-nucleotide ribosomal RNA is filed under the name uncultured bacterium. RNAcentral's name for it is "partial 16S ribosomal RNA". It matches the Rfam family "Bacterial small subunit ribosomal RNA", at positions 568 to 774 of the family's 1533-position model. The record is from RNAcentral.
GGUGUAGGCGGCUUGGCAAGUGUCCUGUGAAAGCCCCCGGCUCAACCGGGGAACUGCAGGGCAAACUGCCCGGCUUGAGCUCGGUAGAGGUGCCUGGAACUCUAGGUGGAGCGGUGAAAUGCGUAGAUAUCUAGAGGAACGCCAGAGGCGAAAGCGGGGCACUGGGCCGAUGCUGACGCUGAGACCCGAAAGCGUGGGGAGCAAACA